Daphnia magna is the source of this 442-nucleotide long non-coding RNA. RefSeq lists it as uncharacterized. Lineage: Eukaryota; Metazoa; Arthropoda; Branchiopoda; Diplostraca; Daphniidae. The transcript is spliced from 2 exons. The record is from RefSeq and is a predicted model, not a curated record.
UCGCAAGCCCACUAUUUUUGAUUUAUAGUAUGUGUAAGGCCGCCAGGGGUGCUGUGUUCAGCGUCUUCUUGGUGGCCGAUCUCGGUUAAUGUUCUUUCUUCGCAAUUGUUCAACAAGGUAGAGCAGACGCUAUUAUAAGUUGUGUCAGAGUCUGAAUAAAAGCUAGAGAAUCAGCAACAAUUUACCUGAGUCAAGUGUCUUCAAAUCAGUAAUUACUUAUCAGGAGGGAAGUGCAUAUCGUACAAGGAAACAGGAAGCUGUGGCCACUUCCGUUGGCGCAAGCUACGCUGCACCGUGUGGAUGGAUUGCAACAGCUUUUGACGAUGACCUUCUUCAAGUACAAAUCUUGAAGUAAUACGAAAUGAUCGAAGAUAUAGCGAAUGAAAUUGUGUCAAAACUAAACUUCGAGUGAAAAACCAAAUAGAUUGCUUUUAAAAACCCA